GUUGGUGAACCAGCGGAGGGAUCAUUACCGAGUUUACAACUCCCAAACCCCUGUGAACAUACCUAUCGUUGCUUCGGCGGAUCCGCCCCGGUGCCUUCGGGCCCGGACUCAGGCGCCCGCCGGGGGACCCAAACUCUUGUAUUUCUUUAGUAUCUUCUGAGUAAACAAGCAAAUAAAUUAAAACUUUCAACAACGGAUCUCUUGGUUCUGGCAUCGAUGAAGAACGCAGCAUCUGACUGACUGGCAGUGU
Molecule: unclassified non-coding RNA, 250 nt
Filed under: plant metagenome
Description: partial contains small subunit ribosomal RNA, internal transcribed spacer 1, and 5.8S ribosomal RNA
Rfam family: 5.8S ribosomal RNA (bases 182-250)
Source: RNAcentral